Molecule: non-coding RNA, 156 nt
Filed under: human gut metagenome
Source: RNAcentral
GCGUUCAGGUGUCCGCCCUGUCGGCGGAUGAAAAGGGAAUUCGGUGAGAAUCCGAAACGAUGUCGUCACUGUGUACCGGAGCUGCAUCCACGCGUCACUGGGAAACCGGGAAGAGGAUUGCAUGCGAUGAAGGAAGUCAGGAGACCUGCCUGAAUG